Molecule: ribosomal RNA, 324 nt
Filed under: uncultured eukaryote
Lineage: Eukaryota
Description: partial 18S ribosomal RNA
Rfam family: Eukaryotic small subunit ribosomal RNA
Source: RNAcentral
CCCUUAGAUGUUCUGGGCUGCACGCGCGCUACACUGAAGCUAUCAACACGUUUUCCCUCCCUGAGAAGGGCGGGUAACCUUUUGAAUCAGCUUCGUGGUAGGGAUCGGGGCUUGCAAUUGUUCCCCGUGAACCAGGAAUUCCUAGUAGACGCGAGUCAUAAGCUCGCAUCGAUUAAGUCCCUGCCCUUUGUACACACCGCCCGUCGCUACUACCGAUUGAACGUUUUAGUGAGGCAUUUGGACCGACGCAUCUCAGUUUAACCGCUGGUUUGUGUUGUAAAGACUUCCAAACUUGAGCGUUUAGAGGAAGUAAAAGUCGUAACA